This 283-nucleotide unclassified non-coding RNA is filed under the name plant metagenome. Its description in RNAcentral is "partial contains small subunit ribosomal RNA, internal transcribed spacer 1, and 5.8S ribosomal RNA". The stretch from base 1 to 53 matches the Rfam family "Eukaryotic small subunit ribosomal RNA", at positions 1779 to 1831 of the family's 1831-position model. The record is from RNAcentral.
GGAAUAAAAGUCGUAACAAGGCCUCCGUUGGUGAACCAGCGGAGGGAUCAUUACCGAGUUUACAACUCCCAAACCCCUAUGUGAACGUUACCAAACUGUUGCCUCGGCGGGAAAUUCAUGCCCCGGGCGCGUCGCAGCCCCGGACCAAGGCGCCCGCCGGAGGACCAACCAAAACUCUUUUGUAUGUCCCUCGCGGACUUUUAUAAUUCUGAACCAUCUCGGCGCCCCUAGCGGGCGUUUCGAAAAUGAAUCAAAACUUUCAACAACGGAUCUCUUGGUUCUG